RNAcentral lists this ribosomal RNA (524 nucleotides) under uncultured Glomeromycotina. RNAcentral's name for it is "SSU rRNA". It matches the Rfam family "Eukaryotic small subunit ribosomal RNA", at positions 569 to 1092 of the family's 1831-position model. The record is from RNAcentral. Lineage: Eukaryota; Fungi; Glomeromycota.
AGCAGCCGCGGUAAUUCCAGCUCCAAUAGCGUAUAUUAAAGUUGUUGCAGUUAAAGAGCUCGUAGUUGAACUUCGGGGUUUACCCAUUGGUCAGGCUUAAUUGUCUGCACUGGUGAGAUGAAUCUCUACCUUCUGAGGAACUUUCAUGCCAUUUAUUUGGUGUGAUGGGAAAUCAGGACUGUUACUUUGAAAAAAUUAGAGUGUUUAAAGCAGGCUAACGUCUGAAUACAUCAGCAUGGAAUAAUGAAAUAGGACGGACUGAUUCUAUUUCGUUGGUUUCUAGGAUCACCGUAAUGAUUAAUAGGGAUAGUUGGGGGCAUUAGUAUUCAAUUGUCAGAGGUGAAAUUCUUGGAUUUAUUGAAGACUAACUACUGCGAAAGCAUUUGCCAAGGAUGUUUUCAUUAAUCAAGAACGAAAGUUAGGGGAUCGAAGACGAUCAGAUACCGUCGUAGUCUUAACCAUAAACUAUGCCGACUAGGGAUCGGACGAAGUUAAUUUUAUAAUGACGCGUUCGGCACCUUACG